GUCAAAACUCGAGCUGCUGCGUUCUGAAUGAGCUGCAGCUGGUUGAUACAUUUUUGGGGGAGUCCAGUCAAAAGACCAUUACCCUAGUCAAGUGUACUGGAGAUGAAAGGCUCAGUGUGGUGGCUAUCUUACUUGUUCUUUUUCUUGUUCUUCAUUUCUUUGUUUAUAACCACUCUAAUAAAUGACAGGAGACCGUUUACGCAUAACUCUGGCCGGCCGCGGACACAGACGUGUGACCCGGUGUCAUGGUAAAACGACCGUGUCGCUCCGCCAUUUCUUUAUUGAAAACAUACAACACACCUCUUCACUUCCUGCUUCCCACGGAAGCCACAUAAGCUCAAAACACUGGCGGCUCAAUACUCAUUGAAACACAUUGAAACCUUUUCUCUCCUGGUUGAAUUGAACAUGAAAUAAACAAUAAUAAAUGGCGCUUACAUUCCGGCCCCUAAUUGUUACUGCUGGGCACAACAAUUACAUUCCUACAUAUUAAAGCGUCAUUUAGUGUGAAACUCUGAAAUAAUGAACUUCCUUUUGUUGCCUUUGUUUACAUGAACAACAUACAUUUCUUCACAUUAACAGUACUUCAAGUACAGGUGUGUCACACACACAAGCAUGAACUUAUUCUUCCAUCUCAAGCAAUAAACAUAACUUAUCUACUGGUCUUUCCAAAACACUUGUUUUAGUUUUUACAAAAGCACGUCUAACAAGACCCUUUGCAUCAGGAACUGUCUUUUCCAUUUUUCCCAUCAACCAUGAACCUCUCGGUGCGCUGUCGUCCACUAUGAGCACGACAUCACUUUCUUUCAGAUUUCUCCUGAUUUCUGUCCACUUUUGCCUCUCCUGCAAGAGCGGCAGGUAUUCCCUUGUCCAACGUUUCCAAAAGAUGUCAGACAGGUAUUGCACCUGCUUCCACCUCUUUCUGUCCUCUCUCUCAAACACUCCAGGAGGCAGCACUGGUUGUUUUUUCAAAAGAAGCAAAUGAUCAGGUGUAAGAGCCUCUGUGGCAUGUGGAUCAUUUGACACUCUUGUUAUGGGUCUGCCAUUUACAAUAGCCUCGACUUCACAAAACAAUGUGUGGAGACGUUCGUCGUCAAGAAGUUGUCAAGAAAUGCUUGUGUCUCAAUCUUUUCAAUCUUUAGCUGAUCUUUCCUUGCCUUUAACUUGCACUCUUCAAGCUCUAAUGACUCUAUCUCUUUCAAGGAUGCUGCUUGUGCAAGUAAAGCUGCAUGUUCUGCUUGUUCCUUCUGACGCAUGGAUGAGAUGGAUGAUCUUGAAAAUCCUGAAGAUCUAGAAGUUCUGGACGUUCCGGUUCUGGACGAUCCAGUUCUGGACGAUCCGGUUCUGGACGAUCCAGAUCUGGGCGGUCUAGUAGAAUGGUCAACAGCUGUGCUUUGUCCCUCAUGAAGCACAGGUUCAUCCUCCGCUGGUGCAGCAACCAUAGAUACGCUGUCAUCUGGACUCACAGCGUCUUGAUACUGUUGCCUUGAUGCAUAGAUCCAUCCUUCAGCUUCAUUAACAAAUUGAUUGAAUCUUUCAUUCUUUGGCUUGAACCAAAAUGUUUGAUCUGCAUCCUUUUCAUCAUCAGGCAACAGUCUGAGUACACCAUCAUUUGCAUGACCAAACUCUCUCAAAAGUUUUGAGCAUUCAACCAAAUGUUCAUCAACAGUGUCUGGACUCUCAUUGUCUUUCAUUAGUCCGUCUAUUUUGUUCACCUUUGACGUUAACUGUGAUAGUUUGGACCUUCUUGUGUUUAUAAAUCGGCUUAGUAGCUCUUCUAGGCCCCGUUCGGUGGGCUUUGGUGCCCUCUUGUGGUCAUUCUUGCUCCCGCAGCUCAGUGUUCUUGGUCUUGUCAUGACGCCGCCGUCAGCCAUGUUUGUUUACGCAACGUCUGACUCAACUGUUCAUAAAACGGUCUAUAACACAAAGCACCGUGGCUUUCUUUAUGAGUGUUAUCUUAUGAAGACCGAACAUGCUAGUCGUCUCACUUUUGUCUUCUGGCUUUGUACUUUCACUUAUCUGGAAGCGUAGCGUUGUGGUCUUGCCUCGUUGCGUUCGGCUAUGUGGACUUAAUGGCGGCGCGGCCUCGUGUUGCUGAGCUGGUCGUUUUACUUAAUGUGGUGGCUAUCUUACUUGUUCUUUUUCUUGUUCUUCAUUUCUUUGUUUAUGUGGCAGGUCGGGUGUUGCUCUGCUCCACCCCCUCCCACUUAAUCAGUAUCACCGGUGCUUGAUUGCGCAUUGGCAGCACCUGGUUAACUACUGCGCUCCUCCGGGGCGCAUUCUCUCCCUGGCAUUCACCUGGAAAGGCUCUGGGUCGGCGUGCUCCAGUUUGGUUGGUGUUCGGUGUGAUUUCGCCAGUUUUGGCCGUACUGGUUGGGUUGCAGCUGGAGGAAGUGGUGUCCGCGUUCUGCUGUUGUUGAGGACUGGUUUUUUUUAGUGCGUAAAGCUCUCUCUAUCGGUAAGCAUGCUCGUUGUUAAUCAUGGUUAACUAUAGUAGCCCUUUGCUAACAGCUGUUGCCCUCUGCUCUGUCCUGCUGUAGCUGCUGAAUUUGCAGCGGUUCUGUCUCUCCUCCUGCGCUCUGUGGAUCCACUGCACAGCCUAUUGAUGACCACCGCAGCCACCUACGCAUAACAUCCGCUGCCUCCAGCCUUGGUGCAGCCGCUCCGUUUUCACGCUGUCUUCCACACCGUAGUUUCUUUUUCUUAAUGUCCUGAGUUUCUGUUGUGGCUCUCACGCAGCACCAGACUCAAGCCCCACUGCAACUGACUUAUUAGUGUUUCUUUGUUUGUUUGGUUUAUUUAUUUCUUGUUUAUGUAGUUGUUUUGGGUAAUCAGUUAAUUUGCAAGCUCUUUGGUUUCUUUAUUUUGAAUUACAGAUGGUUAUUUUGUUUAGUUCUAAUUUAGUUACAUUUCUGAUUUUGUUUAUUCUUAUAUAAGUAAAUUUUCUUUAAGUAUUUCUAUAUAGGUUAAAACAAUUAAUGUGUAUUCUUUCUGUUGGUGUGCAUGUGGGUGUGAAUGUUGUGUGUGAGUGUUUUUAGAAUAGGACAUUUUAAUAAUUCGUAUAGUUCAACCUUUGAGUGUCGCUCCACCUAAUUUUGUGUGUUUUCUUCCUGGACAGGAGCUGGUGUAGUGCGUGGCAGACUCCCUGGUGGUGGUCCCAUCUCACCUCCCUUAAGUUUGCUGUGGCACGUGGUGGUUUGGUUUGUAAUAUUGUUUUUGUGUGUUUUUAAGUUUCUUUAGUCUGUCCGCCUCACUGAGCUGUCCCUGCUCCUAUUUUUGUUUAUUUUCCCCCCUAACGAAUGGUGGUAUAGCAGACACGCAGGUUGUGAAGAAUAUGUUCAUUUUACCUCUAGUAAACCAUUGUUAAAUAAAAUAAUUUAUAUUUUUGGAA
Molecule: long non-coding RNA, 3388 nt
Organism: Larimichthys crocea (large yellow croaker)
Lineage: Eukaryota; Metazoa; Chordata; Actinopteri; Sciaenidae
Exons: 2
Source: RefSeq, a predicted model, not a curated record